CCUACGGGUGGCAGCAGUGGGGAAUAUUGGUCAAUGGGCGCAAGCCUGACCCAGCAACGCCGCGUGAAGGAAGAAGGCUUUGGGGUUGUAAACUUCUUUUCUCAGGGACGAAGAAAGUGACGGUACCUGAGGAAUAAGCCACGGCUAACUACGUGCCUGCGGUCGCUGUAAGACGGAGGUGGCAAGCGUUAUCCGGAUUGUGUGGGUGUAAAGGUCGGGUAGGUGGGAGUGCAAGUCAGAUGUGAAAACUCAGGGCUCAACCCUGAGCCUGCAUUUGAAACUGUGUUUCUCGAGUGCUGGAGAGGCAAUCGGAAUUCCGGGUGUAGCGGUGAAAUGCGUAGAUAUACGGAGGAACACCAGUGGCGAAGGCGGAUUGCUGGACAGUCACUGACGCUGAGGCGCGAAAGCGUGGGGAGCAAACAGGAUUAGAUACCCGAGUAGUC
RNAcentral lists this ribosomal RNA (443 nucleotides) under uncultured bacterium. RNAcentral's name for it is "partial 16S ribosomal RNA". It matches the Rfam family "Bacterial small subunit ribosomal RNA", at positions 338 to 795 of the family's 1533-position model. The record is from RNAcentral.